AGGGAAUCAUGUCAGCUUUAUUCAUUUUCUUUCUGCAAUGCUCUGAACACAGCCCUAAUCUAACCAACUCACAUCUGUUCACCUCUGACCUUCUUCCCCUGUCUCCAAUCUGAUUGGUCAAGAUCCAGACAGCGCUUAGCAACCCAGGGAGUUCUGACCAGCCCUUGUAAGGGCAGAAGGAGUGUUUGUGUUAUGUCUCCCUGAGUUUUAAUGGAGCUUUCUACGAAGGAGAUUAUAUUUGAUACUUUUAUACUUCCUAUAAAAACAUGUAGUACAUUAGGAGGAAGUCUUUUCUCUUGUUUUAGGGGUCAAAAGAUCAGAUUUUAGGAUUUGAGCUUGUUUUACUGCUGUAAUGUGGUGAAACUUUAAACAGGAUUGAACUGAUUAGAGGAAGGCUUAUAAACAGCCCAGUAUCUCAGGACAGGCAAGGCAGUGGAACAGUGAAAGCCUCUAUUCUUUCUCUCACUACUCCCUUGUUCUUUCUCUCUUCCCCCCUCUUUCAAAGGGAAUUGGAAACACAUGUUUACAUUGCCAAAGCAAGUGGAAUAGACAAACAAAAGGGAAAUAAACUCUCUCUCUCUCUCUCUCUCUCUCUCUCUCUCUCUCUCUCUCUCUAGUCAGUAGGAGGAGGGCUGUUUAUUGUAGGUGUGGCAAGGGGAGUGGCCGACCUUCAUGCUGAGAGGUCACGGAGGAGGAGCCCCAUGGAUGAGGGUCAGUGCGAGAGUGCGGGACCAGUGGUGUCAGAGGGUCAGGAGGGCGUAGUGGACCUCCACUACAACCAAUUGGACCCCUCGGAACCAAUUCAGGUCUCCGCCCACCAAAACCAGAACUUGACACAAACUCAACUCGAUGAUGGUCAGAGGGUUGGAUGUGACUCCAUCGAACAAGACUCUUUAAAUGCUAAUAGGGAUGAAGAGGAGGAGGAAGAUGGUGAUAGAAAGAUGAAGGGAGAGGAUGAUGAUGUGAUGGUGGAAGAAGAGAAGGACAGUGUGACAGCACCCGACACUCCUAUGACUGACUCCUCCUUCUCAGACACAGGCAGUUUGGUAGAGCUUCACCCUUCUGUGUCUCCAGAGACUACAUGUCCCGUCAGCCUCGUAGCAGGUUGUCCAGACGAACCCUCCUACAGUAACCCUGAAGGGAAGAGGCACACCUCCACCACAGAACCUACAGGACCUACCUCCACCACAGAACCUACCACCUCCACCACAGACCCUAGCACUGCCCUCCUAGCCUCCCUAGAGGAGCUAGGGGAACGUAAAGAUCACUCCCACCUUCCUCAGUCCCUCCAUCAGGUGUGUGCCCGUCCCUCUCCAUUCUAUAUAUUGUAUUUCUACCUGCCUGCGCUGUUCUCAAGUCAACAUUUAUCUGGCAGCCUGGUGUAGGUGUGAUUCCCUCUGUGGUUAGCUGUAAUUCCUCACUAUAUAUGCAAAAGUAUGUGGACACCCCAGAACAUGAGAACAUAUGAAAGCUGGUGGUUCCUUUUAACAUGAGUCUUCAAUAUUCCCAGGUAAGAAGUUUUAGGUUGUAGUUAUUAUAGGAAUUAUAGGACUAUUUCUCUCUAUACCAUUUGUAUUUCAUAUACCUUUGACUAUUGGAUGUUCUUAUUGGCACUUUAGUAUUGCCAGUGUAACAGUAUAGCUUCCGUCCCUCUCCUCGACCCUACCUGGGCUCGAACCAGGAACACAUCGACAACAGCCACCCUCGAAGAUUCAUUACCCAUCGCUCCAUAAAAGCCAUGGCCCUUGCAUGGGAAAGGGGAACAACUACUCCAAGUCUCAGAGCGAGUGACGUUUGAAACUCUAUUAGCGCGCACCCCGCUAACUAGCUAGCCAUUUCACAUCAGUUACACCAGCCUAAUCUCGGGAGUUGAUAGACUUCAAGUCAUAAACAGCGCAAUGCUUGAAGCAUUUGCGAAGAGCUGCUGGCAAACACAUGAAAGUGCUGUUUGAAUGAAUGCUUACGAGCCUGCUGCUGCCUACCAUCGCUCAGUCAGACUGCUCUAUCAAAUAUCAAAUCAUAGACUUAAUUAUAACAUAAUAACACACAGAAAUACGAGCCUUUGGUCAUUAAUGUGGUCAAAUCCGGAAACUAUAAUUUCGGAAAUAAAACGUUUAUUCUUUCAGUGAAAUACGGAACCGUUCCCUAUUUUAUCUAACGGGUGGCAUCCAUCAGUCUAAAUAUUCCUGUUACUUUGCACAACCUUCAAUGUUAUGUCAUAAUUACGUAAAAUUCUGGCAAAUUAGUUUGCAGCGAGCAAAGUUUAAUAUUGCCCGCUAACAUGAAUUUAUUUUAACUAAAUAUGCAGGUUUAAAAAUAUAUACUUCUGUGUAUUGAUUUUAAGAAAGGCAUUGAUGUUUAUGGUUAGGUACAUUCGUGCAACGAUUAUGCGCUUUUGAAAAUCCCCCGUUUCGCAAAGUAGGCUGUCUUUGUUAGGAAGAAAUAGUCUUCACAGUUCGCCAUGAGCCAGGCGGCCCAAACUGCUGCAUAUACCCUGACUCUGUUGCACAGAAUGCAAGAGAAGUGACACAAUUUAUUUACCUAGUUAAAAGAAAUUCAUGUUAGCAGGCAAUAUUAAUUAGGCCUGGCUGGCCAACUGCCCAACAUCAGAGCCCCGACCUCACUAAUGCUCUUGUGACUGAAUGGAAGUCCCUGCAGCAAUGUUCCAACAUCUAAUGGAAAACCUUCUCAAAAGAGUGGAGGCUGUUAUAGCAGCAAAGGAGGGACCAACUCCAUAUUAAUGCCCAUGAUGUUGGAAUGAGAUGUUUGACAAGCAGGUGUCUAGAAGAAAAAUAAACGCACACCUACCAAGACGAGGUGCUCGCUAGCGGAGUAGAAACUUGAAAAUAAAAGAGAGCCGCACACUCUAGGAGCUCAGAUGCAAAAAUGUAAUAAACACUGCGGGAUGACUCAUUUAUAUAGUGUCAAAAGACACAGGUGUCUGUAAUCAUGGCCAGGAGUGGCCUAAUAUCAUUGGUUAAUAAUCAAAUAUUAAAAUGUCAUACAAAGAACAGCAUAUAAACAAAUGGAUAGCAUACGAUCAUAAAUUAGUGACAAGCAGGUGUCCACAUACUUUUGGUCAUGUAGUGUAUUUACCAGACUGACUGAACACACACACACACACACACACACACACACACACACACACAGCCAUCACAGUGUGUGUGAGUGUGGUAUAAUCCCUGUCAUUAUGAUACACAGAGCUCUGGGUGAAGUGAAGUGAAAAUGUGUUGUCUAUUCCCUCCUCCACCAGUAGGGGCACUGCUGUCAUUUCUGAUCAGCACCUCUCUGCAUCUGUCUACUCCAAUGAUGUAAAUACAUCAUUGGUCUACUCCCUCCCUCCUCCCAACACUUUCAACUGUCUCCUGGGGGCGCGUUCAGGUGGGUUCAGCGUUACAGAAUGUUCAGAUAUAAAUGUAUUGUUGAGAACAGACAUGGCCCAAAUGGAACCCUGGACCCUAGCACAGACUGGGAGGAUUUGACCGGUGCAGUCAAUAUGGUAAUCGCUCCACCUUGCCCUCUGAUAGGUUAGGUGAAAGUUUCACCAUAUUUAUUAUGGCAAUCAAAUCCUCUCAGAUCUUCACAUUCGCAUAGGGCAGCGGUUCCUAAACUAGGGGUCGCAACCCCAUGUGCCUAAUAUGAAAAAAUACAAAACAAAUUAUUUACUGUAUAUUAUAAUAUCGUCUUUGUAUCUCAAAAUCAUGUGGUUGACCUUAAAAUAUCUAAAUGAAAAUGAUUCAAAUCUAAAGGGUAAUAUUCAACCAGAUCAUGGAAAGAGGCUACACUGUACUGGUGAAUCGGUUGGACCAGCAACACUAUGAAACCACACAAUAUUGCAGAGACUUUGAUAUUACCAGCCGCAAUUUAUAUAGUGAAAGCCAUGUGUGGGGAGGGAAGAGGCUCAGAAACUCACAUCAAUACAUUUGUCAAAUAACAGUGUUUAAUGAAGAAUUCAUGCUAUUGCUAGCAAUCAACAGGAAACUCUUAAUGACUCAAACUGCCAUAUGGAAGCAUUGUAUGGCACAACGAGAGCAACUGGCGCCAAACGAGCUGAGCAGAGAACUCUGACUACAUCAAACCACAUCCACUGCGCACGCCUGUUCACAAAACUUUGUGGAGAUAAGGGAUCAGAACAUGACAAUGUUGUAUUUCACAGCGAAGCUUGGUGGUUAUCGAUGGGGAGUGGUGGAAAGAUGUUUUUCAUUAAGAGAGGAACUCUUGUAGUUCACAAUGGAGGUAAAAAAAAAACUUGGUUGACUUUCUGUGUAAUGAAAAGAAAACGAGUCUCCUUGCCUAUUUAUCAGACCAAUUUUAGAAAC
Long non-coding RNA from Oncorhynchus kisutch (coho salmon), 4319 nucleotides. The record is from Ensembl. Lineage: Eukaryota; Metazoa; Chordata; Actinopteri; Salmoniformes; Salmonidae.